CUUGCUUCCCAGUAGCCUCUGCCAAUGGGAGACACUGGUGGGAGCUUGGAAGGAGGGUAGAAGGGAGAAAGAAGCUGAUUUUAUUUCUCCUUCUGUUGAAGUCUCUGGCAGUGGCAGCAGUAGCAGCAGUGGCAGCAGCUGCGGCAAUAGCAGUAGCAGCGGCAGUAGGCCCUGAAAGCAGCAGAUCUCACCUGCAUUGGAGGAUGAGACGCCACAUGAAGAAGAAAGAAGACGCCACAGACAGCAGCGCAGUACCACCUUCCAGAGAUGUCCUAAAAACAUCCUGAGUUUCUUUGGCCUGCCAGAAAGUCACCUUCCUGACUCACCUGUAAGGCUGGGAACUCCAUAAUCCAGGUACCAGGCAGACUUUCCGGGAGGGCUUCAUAUGCAUUGGCUCCAUAAAGUUAACCUUAGUUCCUCAAAACUGUCUGUUCAUAUGUGAUUUUAUGUCUUAUUCUCAGUUGGAAAUGCAGAAAUCACCUGUCUUCUGCGUCGAUCAGGCUGGGAGCUGCAGACCGGAGCUGUUCCUAUUCGGCCAUCUUGGAAUGGACCCCCAUGUCUUAUUCUCAAAUAAAACAUUUUGGUCAAAGCCUUGAUUAUCUAAUCAAUUUUUAAAAUUAUGUUCUGUUACAAAAAGGACAGAUUCUUAUCGAACCCAUAUAAAAUAGUAUAUCACCAUUGAUACGGUUUGGAUCUGUGUCCCCACUCAAAUCUGAUGUUCAAUUGUAAUCUCCCAGUGUUAGAGGUGAG
This 750-nucleotide long non-coding RNA is filed under the name Homo sapiens (human). RNAcentral's name for it is "HSALNT0081879". Lineage: Eukaryota; Metazoa; Chordata; Mammalia; Primates; Hominidae. The record is from RNAcentral.